GUGACAAACGGAGAAGACUAGCACAGAUUUGCAUCAGCGUCAUUUUUCCUCCAUGGAGAGCCCUGAAGGAGGAGAUUGGACUGAGGUCUGACACAGAUGUUGUCUUGAUACUGCUGGAUAAGUAAGUGACUCUGUUAAAUCGAUAUGCGGAUGAAUGGAUGGGUGGAUGGUUGGUUGGAUGGGGGAAUGAAUUAAUUGGUUGGUUGGUUGGUUGGUUGGUUGGUUGGAUGGGGGAAUGAAUGAAUUGGUUGGUUGGUUAAAUGGAGGGAUAGAUGUUUGGAUAAAUGAAUGGGUGGAUGAUGGAUGAAUGGUCGAUUGUUGGGUUGAUGGAUUAAUGUUAGAUUAAUGAGUGGAUGGAUGGAUAGAUGGUUGGAUGGAUUGGAUGAAAGUGAAAUUCAAAUUCAUUUUACUUUUUUGAUAAUUAUUACCAUUAAUCACUGUUUUGUAGUUUAUUUGCAGUUAUUGCCUUUUCCAGUUGGAUUGUUUACCUACUGUUUGGCAUCAUUUCCAUUUUCACGUGAUUAUUUUACAAACAUCAUCUUGAGCCUGAACAAUGAAAUUUUAUGCAUAGAAACAAAAAACAUUCAACAGUAGUUCUCUGUUAUUCUAAACAGAGAGUAACAGAACCCGAUACUGAGACUGAAGAAAGCCUAAAGAAUCUAAUAUAACACAUUUCAAGUGGUGUCUGCAGCCAGCCACACACGUCAGAAACACAUAUCUAAGUAAAUCCCAUUUUAUCCAGUCUCCUGAAAGUGAAAUAUUUAUCUUGUCUUUUCCACGACGCUGCACAGUAGUUGACUUGCAUUUCUAAAUUAUGUAUUUAUUCAACACGAAUGGACGUAUUUGAAUGUUUUUUUUUGACCAGCCAGAUCAAACUGCUGCUAUUAAAAUGUAUGAGAAAGCAGGAUGGAGCUCAAAGGGGAUGACAAAGAGGUGGAUGGAGAGAUAGGAGAGAGAAAAGCAUAGAAGGGAGGGAGAGUGGAAGAUAUUAUUGAGCAGUUCCCACUGGACAAUCUCAAUAUAUCAUUUCGAUAUAACUCCAUCUUCAAAAUGAGAAGUCUCACUCAGUAAAUACUAGAAUGUAAUAUCGGUGUGUGUGAGAGUGAGCUUGUGGGACAAUUUGAUCUGCUGGUCUUUGUGUGCAUGAGGCCCUGUAAGCACAUCCAGAAUAAGAUUUUAGAAAAGUUUGUUUUCAAUCAGUUAGAUGAUUUUAUGACAUCUGUAACAUCUACUGAAUAUAUCAAUCUGGUUUCAGGACAAGUCACAGUAAAGAGACUUUGUCAAAAUUGCAAACAACAUCAGCUCAAACAUACAAAAAAUGCCCUCUGUCCUUGUAUGCUUGACCACUGAGCAUCCUUUCACAUAGUUGAUUUUAGAUAGGCUUUACAAUCUUACCAGCAUCUCUGGUACUGUUCCUCAAUGGUUUAUAUCUUAUCUUACAGACAGGAAAUUCUAUGUAAGCGUGGGGGAAUGUCCAAAACAAUACCCUGAAAGAUGCUAAAACUUUCUAUCAGCAAAACUCGCAGUUUGGUGAUAAAUUUGAAGGUUUGGCGAACAACCCUUAAAAACAAGACAAAAGCAUCAGCCUUUUGCUAAAAGUUGACCAGUGCAGCUUUGUUAACAUCACGUUACAACAGCUCUUUAGGGUUGUGUAUCUGAGAGAUUGAUUGGCUUUCUUUUUUGCUCUCUCUAUUUGCUCAUUUACAUUUCUAAUUUGAUGCAUGACUCCAGACUAGCAGGUCCAUCUCAAUGUUCAAUAGCUAACAAUAAGUAAAAUCAGAAAAAGUUAAAAAGAUGAUAUCUCAGUGGCAUGGUUCCCUAGCAACCAUUCAUAAAGCCCCGCCAGAAAACCUAAACCCAGCCAGAUUGCUUGGCUGGAACUUUGUUUUUAAUGAAUGCCCAGUUACACUUGGAAAAAGCAGAAAGGUGGGAGUGUGUCUGAACAAACACCAAAGCCUGCAGAGAGGAGAGGGAUCUCUGUGCAGGGACCUAAAAAUACUUUUUUCUGCUGUUUUGUCUCUGUGGACUGGAACGCAGACAGCAAAUAUGAAGCAGAUUACUCUGGGAUGUGCAGUUGGACUGGGGAUAGAGCAACUCAGAGGUGUUUGAUGUUGUGUACAACAAAAAAAAGACCAGCCUCACAAAGACACCUGGGUAUUUAAACCCAUGUUAUCAAAAACAAUGGUAGCCAUCUUUGUACUCAGUCUGACGUUUCCAUUAGCACCAGCCACAGUCUGUCAACUUCUGAGCCUCUAAAAACCAGAAAACACAUCAUAAAUACAAAAGUAGGUUUAUUCUAACUUAAAAAUUACCCACCGUGUUAAAACUCUGAGAGAAUCAUGUCUCCUCUGAGCAGUCUUGGUCUACUUCUGCUGUAUAAGUGGGAUGGCCGACUUUGACAAACUAGAGCUUGAUUUGUUACAAACUCACAUCCAAGGAUUUCUGACGUUAUCAAAAACUAAAAAUAACGUCACUGUUUUUAGUUACAGGAAAAAGAAGAGAUAAAUUACAUGUAGUCACCUGCUUUCUCAUUGUUGUAACCCUAUCUGCCAGCCAUCUUCACCAUUUCUCUGAAACUACUGCUGACAACACCUCAGUACUGGCAAGAUUUCUUCUGGUACAAACCAAACAUCCAUAAACGACAAAUCUGCUCUUGCUAUUUGAAUAACAACCACACAGCUGCACAUUGUUAUGUUUCUACAAUAAGAACUCAGAAAUAGUCCUUCAGAGUCCAAAAAUAGAAACACAAUCAAAGAGAUGAAAAAGUGACAGUAUAAAAAAAAGGAUCAGGACUUCUCAGUGUUUGAUCACCAAAACACUUUGCAGCCAUCAAAGGAUGAAAUGGGUAAAAAAGGCUUUAGAAAAGAAUCACAUAAUGAAACAACAGAAAGACAGAAACAGCCACACAGGCUUAAACACAUUUCACCACACACACACCAACCGUCUGGGCCGCAGACACUUUAGGAAGUGUGUCGCUGAUUGAGGCUGAUUGAGUGCACAGGCAGGAGGCCAACUGUUUGGGGGAAAUUACAAAGAUGAGUGGCACACUGCCUGUCAGCUUUUUUUGGGGGGUUGAGAUGCCCCGUAAUACACACUUCUACACACAGUUCUGCUGCAGUAACAGGACGGAGGCGAGAGAGAACUGAUAAAAGCUUAAAUUGUGAUGCAUUUCAAAGUGACUCAUUUUUCAUCACAUGCUGUAUAAUUGGGCUUCCUCAUCCUUCAUCUGGGAGAUAAAUGACGAAGUUUGCAGACUCAAUUCAAAGAUCAACAUGAGAGGCUGAUUAGACAAUAACAGACUAUAAAUUAUUCUCCCCGAAUAACGCCGCAGACUCUUCAAAUAAUAGUUCAAGUGUUUGAUGAGUCUUCUUAACUCUUUGAACACUGAAGAAAAAUAAAAGUAAAAAGUAAAUGCAUCACUUUUUGUGCUUAUAGUGAUGGGUUUUCUUUGAGUAUCUUCAGAAACCCUACGGAUACACUGACUGCAGCAGCCUGGGUGAUUCAGAAAAAGUAUUCAAUUCUGUCAGAGUUUGGCCCACCGAAUUUUGCUUAUCUUGGUUUUCUUCAGUCGCAUUUAAUACUUGAGCCUGAUUGGUUAAAACCAUGCCCAAUACUCCAAUAUCCAUGACUAGUGUCUCAAACUGAAAGUACCAAGGUAACAAGGCAAGGGUUCAAACAAUGCAAGACACACACACACAACUACUCUUGCUAGGCUGCUUCCCCACUUAAGAGUUUGGGAGUCGCUAAUAUGGAUUUUGGGAAACUGAUGAUUGGUCAAUGCUGUCAGUGAGAGGGGUGGAAACACCAGCGCUGAGGGGUGGAUGAUAACAUGUAGCUAACAAGGAGCCUCCAAUCAGCACAUACCCAGUUGACAGCAGCAAUGAUCCUCCAACAAAAAGAUGACCACUCACUCCCCCAUCAGCCAAAUAGCACUGAGUAGAAGAAAAGAAAAACAUGCACGACAAACACCACCACAACUUGGGAACCAUAACAACCACAAAGCUCAAGAAUUCUGGUUAAUAUCUGACCAUUCAGUCAGACAAAAGAAGAAAGGGUGAGAAAAAAACAUGCAGAAACCAGCUAAGGUUGUUAGCACACUGAGUGAAAACGUCAUCACUUAAAUUGAAGAAAACAGACAGGAAGCAGCACAGCAGGAGUUUUGGCAGGAUUGGACUGCUUGAACAAAACCUUUAGAUUACACUAGAUUAGAUGAGAUGAGAUUAGAUUCAACUUUAUUUAUCCUUUUGAGAGUUCCCUCAAGAAAAAAGUUGUAUUUCAUCAAAUUUUAUAAAUACAAAUGCUAAGUUAAAAGUUUAUUUAACCCACAAGUAGGCUAAUCAACAUGAUAGUUUGUCACAAACUGAUGAAGAUGAAGCCAAGGAAAGUUCAUACAACACUGGGAGGCCCACUGUCUUUCUCAUGAAAUGGCUUCAUCCCUUCAUUCUGCCUCCUUGUGUUCAACACAGCAGACAAAGUGCAACAGGUGCAGGGAUAUCCUGCCUUGAACUGGCAAAGUAAGAGGCUCCAGAUUCAAAGAGGAUCAUGUAUAAAACAGUUUCUUUAUCUUAUUGAUACCUAGGAUCUUUAAAUCUGUUUUCUUCUUUUUUUAUUUAAAACAAAUCCCUUAGCAGUUUUAUUUUCCCUCCUGACCUGUAUUUUUUAACACCUUUCCUUCUUUAGUCUCCAUCCCUUAUUUUCAGAGUAAGAACCAGAGGUAGAGGAAAGAGACCACCUCCUUACAGCAGAGAGAGUAAGCGCUGUCCUCUGGGGACACCAGGUAAGGCGCCUCCGGAGGUUGUUGUAGAUUUCCGGCAUCUUCUCAUUGUUACAAUGCGACAUCUUAUUCUAUCAAAGGUGCUGUAAACACUUCUGUUCUGCAUUCUUCUCACAACCACAGACCCAGAAAGUGUGCUGAUGUCAUCAUCGUUGUGUAACGUUUUAGAUGCGAUGGGAAGAAAGAAGGCUACAGAGAGCAAAGAGUGUGUAGGAUGUGUUGAAAGAACAGUGAGACAUGGUUGAUGAAUAUUUUAAAGGUCUUCUGUUAUGUGAAGAAGAAAAAUGGAGACACGGGAGGCUCUCAGAGAAAUCAGGACAUGAAAACACACACAGAGAUUCAAUCCCCAGGUGGGGUAAAGUUUGGAGUGAUUUCCUACAUGUCUCACUCUCAUUUUAGUAGUUAUGAUUGUGUUUUUUCAUACAUUACAUAAGAAGUUGUACAGUUGACCCAAAUUUGUUGUGACAACUGUUACAUUAGGAAAAAAAACAGAGACAAACACGAUAAGGACAGUAUUAUCAUCUUUGCCCAAGAUUAGUGUGUGGUGUUCAAACAAAUACAAUAGCUCCACCAAACAUCAGCACAGCACAUAUUACAAAGCCCUGACCAGAUCAUUUCUACUUUUAUGUCGUUUCUGUAGUUUACCAGCAAAAGCAUUCAUCAGUAUGUGCCUUUUCUGCAAUAAUUCACACAGCCACAGAAUAUGACAGAGAACAGCACAAAGAAACAUGUUACAAUAAACCACUGACAUGAUACGAGAGAACACCACAAUACCUGACCCCGGAUCACCUUACACUAAGGGAGGAUCAAUCCAAAAUUAUUGAUCCCCAGUACAUUAAAAAAAUGCCCAGGGGGACUAUGGCCUCACUGAUGAGACCAGGAUUUAGAGAUCAUUUAUUUCAAUUUCAAUUAUUCAAUUAUUUCAAUGGACCGGGAAAUAAGUCCAUCUUUGCCUCUACCUUCAAGAAUAGCAUGUAAAAGAGGACUGCACACAGCCAUAGAAGAUAUAACAAUAAUCACCAUGGAUCUGCAAGUACACAGCUUCACCACAGCACACACCACAAUAACAAAAUCCGCAUGAAAAGAAUACAGCCCCACAAACAGCCAUGAUGGACACAGUAUCAGUAGCUAAAAGAGGAUAUGAUCAUGGCUAUGCAAACAGUCACAGAGCAUGACCGUUGCUUUAAGUUCCCAUCAUAACCAUAAACUUACAGGGCUUUGACUGAACAAAGCAACAGAGCUCAUGUCUGCCCAACCCUUGGGUUUGAUGAGAGAGAGCCUCAAACUGUCACAGAGCAACGCUAAUAGGCCCACUGUUACCUCUUACACACAUGAGAAAUAUGCACUCCACUCAGCUGGAGUGCAUAUUUCUGCUGGCCUAUUUCAUAAAAAUAUGCAGUGAAAAACGUCCAGCACACAUGCUCUUAAAUUAACCUUAUGAAAUUUUAAAAUAGCACUGCACAGAGGAACAGAGAACAUUACUGUGACUUCACAUCAGGAGCUAUCAUGCAAAAAUAGUUUCACAAGUUUGCCAUGAAGUGAGCGGUGGUCACAGAGCAGACAGCAGCAGCCUUGUAGAAUUUCUUAAUGAGCAUUUCACAGGCUACAGUCAUUAAGAUUAAAUGAGUCCUACCUCCAUGAGUUCAACCGUCUCCACCACAGUAUCAGUCCACAGUCAUUUUGACGUUAGUCUCUCGAGGGCCUUCAUUGAGCACCUGGGGCAAAGCUAAACACACGAUAAAGUGGAGGAGCUUUUAUCACGUCGUCUCUUGAGUGCAGGGUAGAGUAAGCCAAGCUUGUCAAUUAAUAUGCACAAAUAAAUGAGUGACACACCAGGGUUGCAGGCUGUUUUCCCACACAGUUCUUCUUCAAUAAACACACGAGCGUCCCCUCCGCUCACGGACAUCACUUGGCUGGGAAGCAAAACAUCUCAUAACAUCAGCCGGUUGAGGAAAUCUUAAGGUUUCUCGUUACGUACCGCCAGUUUUCUACCACUAUUAGCCACAAUUCUGUGUCUCCAAAUUUGGUCAAGUGUUAGUCAUAAAGGACUUCAGUUCAAGUCUAACAUUUCGGUGUACUCUGUUGUUUACAGCCCACGCUAUCAUUAGCACGGUUAGCUUACAGGUGCAAGCGUAACCCGUAAUUACCCGCUCUGGAACGUUCGAAUUUUCAUCAAUAACUCCGUGGAAUCAUGGGAGAAUGAGUCUUUAUUCGUUUAUCGAAGACGGCAUUUAAGGGAUUCGGGCUUUUAAAAUACCCUGCGACUAUUUAAUCUAAAAAAAAAAAAAGUGUGUGGUGUUCAAACAAAUACAAUAGCAUUAAAAUUGUUUUAAUUUUACAUCUAUACACACCUCCUUAAAAUAGUUUUUAAAAGCAGCAUCUCAGCAAAAAAUCAAGUAAAAAUUAGUGUUUAAAAUGCUUGAUAUUUUUAUUUGAUUACAUUUGACUUCAAUGCGUAUAGUUUUAACUUUGGAAUAUAAGUUGCUUGACUGAAAUAUCCUUUUGAAAUAUACUCAACUUUUUUUUCCAGUUUUAAUCAAUUAAUCCCAAAUUAUGCGAAUGAGUUGUAAGCUAUGUAAAUAUUACUGCUAAAAUACAUCUUUGUAAAUAUAUAUAGGAAGAACAAAAUAUUAUUUACACUAGGCUAUUUGAUGCAAGUAGUAGAAUUUUCAAAUGGAUGUCCUUGUGGCUUUUAGUGCUUUUGGAGCCAGCCUUAAACAGACACUUGAGGAGCUGCAGCUUUUGGCACUUCUGCAUUGGACUCAAGAGGCUGCAGCUUGGUUAUCACAGACCGGUCUUUCCAGCACUUUCAUAAGAAGCUCUGACCACCAGAGGACAUAAAUAAAG
RNAcentral lists this long non-coding RNA (7621 nucleotides) under Xyrichtys novacula (pearly razorfish). The record is from RNAcentral. Lineage: Eukaryota; Metazoa; Chordata; Actinopteri; Labriformes; Labridae.